UCGGAGUAUCUCAAGCAUGACGCAAAGUGUUCAGUCAUGCCAGGAAUUCUCUGAGA
RNAcentral lists this microRNA precursor (56 nucleotides) under Heligmosomoides polygyrus. RNAcentral describes it as "microRNA hpo-mir-10075b precursor". Lineage: Eukaryota; Metazoa; Nematoda; Chromadorea; Rhabditida; Heligmosomidae. The record is from miRBase by way of RNAcentral.